Molecule: long non-coding RNA, 457 nt
Organism: Mytilus californianus (California mussel)
Lineage: Eukaryota; Metazoa; Mollusca; Bivalvia; Mytilida; Mytilidae
Exons: 4
Source: RefSeq, a predicted model, not a curated record
AUAACUUGUGAAUAUAAAAAGAUAACGUUCUACACUGAGUACCAGUUAUAUUUGUCUCUUUCCUUGUCUUAAAACAAUGUGGUCAGUUUUGGUAGUGGUCUUUUGUGUUACAGGUAGCGUACAAGCGAUCAUUUCAGGUGAACCAACAAAAACAAAGCCUGGGUUUUGUCCACCUGUACCCCUGGAUACCGUCGGUAUUUGUGUUGAAGAAUGCAGCAGUGACGACGGUUGUCCGGAUAACAAAAAAUGUUGCUCAAACGGUUGUGGACAUAUGUGUUCCUUUCCAACCGGCGGAUUAAAACCCCAACCAGCAACCUGCAAAAUAGGAAAACCCCUAAUUAGCAUAUUGUGUGGUCCUAAUCGUCAAAGGUGUCCCGAGAAGUAUUACUGUAAUAUCGACCCAGCUGGUAGAUUUGCUGUUUGCUGUCGAAAAGUUUAAACUAGUAUGUCAGAAAUA